Molecule: RNA transcript, 1117 nt
Organism: Aedes albopictus (Asian tiger mosquito)
Lineage: Eukaryota; Metazoa; Arthropoda; Insecta; Diptera; Culicidae
Exons: 1
Source: RefSeq, a predicted model, not a curated record
AACGAUCCAGAGCUUUACCACGCUCGAUACCAGCACGUCAUUGGCGACCAGCCUUAACUCACUCGUAAUAAUCGAUUCGUUCGAUGAGAAUUGUGAUAACAUGAUUGAGGAAAUUACUAGACUGUAGGUUUGAUAUAGAUUUUGGAGAGGCGUAUGUUAAGGAUGCGUAUUGAAUGCGUUAAUAGUGUAAGAUGUAGGUUUUAACAGCUUUUUUUCGGAAGAGAAAUCGCUAACAGCAGUGUUGUACGCGUGGUAGAUCACUUUCUGCUCGGGUAGCCUUCGAACAGCAAACACGUGGACCUGAAGGCAAGUCCAAAAUGUGCUUAUAAAUCUAGUAGCCCUUGUUGAUCGCACCCAACAACGCAUCCGGAGCGACGAGAGAAAAUUUUCCCAUUCCAUUUUGGCCCAUCGUUCGAAAAGGUUCACUUUUUUCCGGAAGCCGUUCCAAGAAAGAAAUCAAGAUGUUCAAAAUUAUCAGUGAAGCUGCCAGAGGAAUCUCGGUGAAAAACCUGGAAGCGGCCGGCAAGCUGGCCAAGGCCCGUCCCUUUUCGUCGUCGUCAUCAAACAACGACCGGGGCCUGACGGACUUCAGCCAAAAGAAAGACUGCCAGCAAAAGGCCUGUUCGGAUCGGUCUACGAAGAUGCCCCCGAAGGAACCCAAAUCCAGCUGCGACAAGCCGGUUAGUCCGAAAACGUGGCGCACCUGUCCGGAACCUCCGACCCCCAAGGAAUUCUCCUGCGCCGACACGGUACAAGAGAUGGUUCCCCGACGAAAGAAGCGCCAAGUGGCCUCCAGGCCGGCCUGUUCCAAGCCGGCUCCCAGCCUGGCCGCGCCCGAUUGUGUCAAGGUUAAGAAAGAACUGUGCCCGCGAGCCUCCUUGCCCGGAUGUGGAAAGGCCAAAAUUCCGCCGCGCUGCGAUCCGAAGAAAGUGGUUCGCGACUGCAUCAGAUUGCGGCCACCGGUGGCAUGCUUUUCUGAGUGCUACCGGAACCCGUUCCCACCGCAACCGCGCUCGGAGUGCACCUGCCUGACAACGCCGCGGAUUUGCUAGUGUCGUCUACCCGAGCAGAAUGAGAUUCUUCUUUUCGGAAUAAAACAACUGUACGUCAAUCGCAA